GAUGAAGAACGUAGCGAAAUGCGAUAAGUAAUGUGAAUUGCAGAAUUCAGUGAAUCAUCGAAUCUUUGAACGCACCUUGCGCCCUUUGGCCAUUCCGAAGGGCAUGCCUGUUUGAGUAUCAUGAACUCCUCAACUCUUUAUGGUUUUCCAUGAUGAGCUUGGACUUUGGGGGUUUUGCUGGCCUAUGGUCGGCUCCUCUAAAAUAAAUCAGCUUACCGGUGUUUGGUGGGUAUCAUGGGUGUGAUAACUAUCUACGCUUGUGGUUUUUCCACCAGGUAACCUUCGACAGCGGAGGUUCACUGGAGCUCAUAGAUGUCUCUCCUCAGCGAGGACAGCCCUUUGAAUGUUUGAUCUCAAAUCAGGUAGGACUACCCGCUGAACUUAAGCAUAUCAAUAAGCGGAGGA
This 405-nucleotide unclassified non-coding RNA is filed under the name soil metagenome. RNAcentral's name for it is "partial contains 5.8S ribosomal RNA, internal transcribed spacer 2, and large subunit ribosomal RNA". The stretch from base 1 to 121 matches the Rfam family "5.8S ribosomal RNA", at positions 35 to 154 of the family's 154-position model. The record is from RNAcentral.